UACGUAGGGCGCAAGCGUUGUCCGGAAUUAUUGGGCGUAAAGAGCUCGUAGGCGGUUUGUCGCGUCUGCUGUGAAAACCUAAGGCUCAACCUUGGGCUUGCAGUGGGUACGGGCAGACUAGAGUGCGGUAGGGGUGACUGGAAUUCCUGGUGUAGCGGUGGAAUGCGCAGAUAUCAGGAGGAACACCGAUGGCGAAGGCAGGUCACUGGGCCGCAACUGACGCUGGAGGAGCGAAAGCAUGGGAGCGAACAGG
This 253-nucleotide ribosomal RNA is filed under the name uncultured bacterium. Its description in RNAcentral is "partial 16S ribosomal RNA". It matches the Rfam family "Bacterial small subunit ribosomal RNA", at positions 524 to 776 of the family's 1533-position model. The record is from RNAcentral.